AGCAGCCGCGGUAAUUCCAGCUCCAAUAGCGUAUAUUAAAGUUGUUGCAGUUAAAAAGCUCGUAGUUGAAUUUCGGGAUCAAAGGAUCGGUCAUGCCUUGGUAUGUACUGGUUUUAUUGGUUCUCACCUUCUAAAGAACCAUAAUGUCAUUCAUUUGAUGUUAUGGGGAAUUAGGACUGUUACCUUGAAAAAAUUAGAGUGUUUAAAGCAGGCUUACGCUUGAAUACAUUAGCAUGGAAUAAUGAAAUAGGACAUCAGAUUCUAUUUUGUUGGUUUCUAGGAUCGAUGUAAUGAUUAAUAGGGAUAGUUGGGGGCAUUAGUAUUCAAUUGUCAGAGGUGAAAUUCUUGGAUUUAUUGAAGACUAACUACUGCGAAAGCAUUUGCCAAGGAUGUUUUCAUUAAUCAAGAACGAAAGUUAGGGGAUCGAAGACGAUCAGAUACCGUCGUAGUCUUAACCAUAAACUAUGCCGACUAGGGAUCGGAUGAUGUUAAUUUUUAUAAUGACUCAUUUCGGCACCUU
Molecule: ribosomal RNA, 520 nt
Filed under: uncultured Glomus
Lineage: Eukaryota; Fungi; Glomeromycota; Glomeromycetes; Glomerales; Glomeraceae
Description: SSU rRNA
Rfam family: Eukaryotic small subunit ribosomal RNA
Source: RNAcentral